This is a long non-coding RNA of Gordionus sp. m RMFG-2023, 395 nucleotides long. RefSeq lists it as uncharacterized. Lineage: Eukaryota; Metazoa; Nematomorpha; Gordioida; Chordodea; Parachordodidae. The record is from RefSeq and is a predicted model, not a curated record. The transcript has 3 exons.
UCAAAUUUGAAGUGGCAAAAAUUGAAGUGACUGGUGGCCAUUUUGUGUUUGUAUCUUUUACGAAAGAAGCAUAUGAUAAUUUCAUAAAUUUCAGAUUUCCUAUGAAAGAUAAAAUAUUAUUACAAAAGUGGACCCAUGCUGUGAAGAGAGAGAACUUCAAUGUAACAAAAUAUAGUAAAUUAUGUUCAAAGCAUUUUACACCAGAUUCAUUUAUUUCAUCUGUUACAAAUCAUGUUCAAUUAAGAGUGGGAGCAAUACCAUCAAUUUUUAAUUUUCCAAAGCAUCUUCUAAAAAAGCCAGAUUAAUUCAAAUAUAAAUUUUUAAUUUUCCAAAGCAUCUUCUAAAAGUAACAAAAUAAUGAAUAAUAAAUUAUAACAUGCAGAUUUCUUAGAAGC